Chiroxiphia lanceolata (lance-tailed manakin) is the source of this 1697-nucleotide long non-coding RNA. RefSeq lists it as uncharacterized. Lineage: Eukaryota; Metazoa; Chordata; Aves; Passeriformes; Pipridae. The transcript has 3 exons. The record is from RefSeq and is a predicted model, not a curated record.
UGGGUGGGGUUCCUUCUUCACAAUCCCUUUUGAUUCCUCCGCAGGUCUCACUUUCCCAGCUCAAGUCUGGCCUGUUUGAAGGACACUGGAAACCCCAGAGGUGUUGGCUGGAUGCUUGGUGUGGCCUGCAGCAGGAUUUCCAUGACCAGUUCCUUGGCAGGUGCUGGCCAGGCUUUGCCCUACUCAGAAAUAACCGUGUUUUGGAAAAGUAGGAGCCAGUUGAAACACUUGUGGAUUGUUCUGGGGGAAGCAGGGGAAAGGCUUUCACUGAGCGUUGGAGAUUUUUAGCAGGAAGCCAGCUCAAACUUGCUCAGGAUGGAAGAGUGCUGUUGUGCUCUCAAUGCAUUUGGCUUUGCUGUUUAGAAGUUAAAACAGUAAAAGUGAAGAAGCUGAAGAGAAUGACAGUGAGGGAAGUGCUACGAGGUGUAAAAGCCCCACAACUGACAUGCAAUAAUAAAAGAAAAUCAACUGACUCCAGGCAAAUAUUAAUGAAAAACAAUUUAUAUACUUAUCAUAUAAAGAUUACAGGUAAGCAAUUAAAAACCUCUUAUAUAUAAACAUUUGGAGAGUGUAAUUUUAAAAUCCAGAACAUUCACUUUUCAGCUUAACACAGACAUACAACCUCUGAGUGAACAGUACUAUAUACAUUAGGAACUAUGCUGUAUGUACAUGGGAAACUGCUCUGUACAGACACUGACACUGAACCAAAAUGCAGAGAAAACUUAACUUCUGGUCUUGCCCUAAAUUUGGACGAAGGUUAAGGCUCAGUAACAACCCCCUCCCUCUACCACCCUCUAAACCAAGAUACAACUGGAAUUCAUAAACUGUUCAGACUAGGACCUGCGAUAGGUCUCUUGGAUGUACAACAGGCCUGUUGGACCUACAAUAGGUCUGGUUUACCUACUUGUAAACAGAAGUGAUAAAUCCAAAUGUAGUGUAAAACUUACGGAACCUGAGCCCAGUUUUGAAAAUUAGUGCGACAGAACUGGGGGGGGGGAAAGGCCCAGGCAUGGAUAAAACUCUUAUUUUAACUAAUGAUCCUUAACAGUCCUAAGUUAUCUAUUUGGAUAAUAACUAACUCCUAAAUUUGCACAAUGCUAUCUAAGGAAACCGAAACACUGUAUCUAUUUAAUGUAUCUCAAAUAAGGGCUGUUUACAAUCCAGCGUCUCACUUAUGGCUUUUAAAAAAUUUAAAAGUUCUGCUCAUGAAGAGUAAUUGCACAUGAGGAGGAGGUACAUCCAUCACACGAGAAAGGCAUCAAGUUCUGCUCCCUGGGUUAAAGUCCAAGGCAAACCACCCUGUCAUGGCAUUAAGACCUCAAUCCAACACAAGUAGUGUGUGUUUGUCCCGUUCACGAACAAUUCAUGACGAUCAUCCAAAGGCAAGUGCAGUUCAUUCAUUUUAAAGUUCUUUGGAAACCAUAUCCAAAACAGGUAAUUCUCUGGCGCAGAACAAGUGCAAAAAGCCUUCAGCUGGUUCAGGCAGACGUGCACUCAGAACUUUCUUCAGCUGUGUAAAAAUAAAUUCAGAUGAUCUUCUGUGUAAUACUGGCACGAAGGAGACUGUUUUCUCACAGAGUUGGCUCGUGGGGUGUCCCUUAAGCCAAAGGUGGCAGCCUCUUGCCCCAGGGCUGCCCAGUCCUCCAAUUGCACAUUUUCAACAGGUAAUACUGACACAUCCACCCCUAACACUGGAC